GGAAAAUGGAAAUCAGUUGGCCUACCUUGAGUUCUGAUAGUAAGACAUAGAAGAAAGAGUUCAAGGCCAUAUGGGGUCUAGAACAUAAAAUUUACCAUGGGUGUUCCGUAGGUAGGUAGUGGAAAUUUUCUUAUGAAAACUGAAGUGAUUCCAUACUAAGCAUUAUCAGAUGCACUUCCUAUAUUCACUGGGAACUAACCUACUAAGAAGUACAAUUGAGCUUUGUCUAGAGGUUGGUGGAUGGCAUAACUUAGAAAAUUAUUUUCUGUUUUUGACUUUGAGUCAAAGGUUUGGAAAUGGUCUCUUUCUAGACUUCAUAAUUAGAGAAAUGUAGUUUUAGUGUGUAUUUGGUUAUCAUGACCCAUGUGACAUUUACUCAGUUUCCCCAAAAUAGGGCAGUGAGUAGGAUUAGAAAUAUUACAGGUGUGAAAAAUUUAAGAAAUAAAGACAUGGAAAUAAAUGAAAAGCAGGGGCGCAAUGGGAUGAUCCAGCUCUGAUGGAGACUGGAUUUAACAAAGGGAAUGAAUGAAAACCUGUACGUUUAUUUUAUAGGUAUAGACACUAAAGGGUUUUAGUGUGGAAAAACUUCUUGAGGUAAACAGGAUGAAAUUGAGAAAAAAACAUGGUUGGGGCUUAACAGGUUAUGUCCAUCUCUUCUACCUCUGGCAGCUGGAUUUUGAGAUCAAGGCUAUUGAACUAGUGAAUUCCACCGUAAGCAUGGAACUUGGAACUUUGCUACCAGUGGGAGUUAUCAUGCAAAGGGGAGUUUCCCUCAUAGCCUGGCACCGCAGGGUUCCCCAAAUCAGGUCUCAACUGUCCAGGUUUCA
Molecule: long non-coding RNA, 827 nt
Filed under: Marmota monax (woodchuck)
Lineage: Eukaryota; Metazoa; Chordata; Mammalia; Rodentia; Sciuridae
Source: RNAcentral